AGAGUUUGAUCCUGGCUCAGAACGAACGCUUGCGGCGUGCUUAACACAUGCAAGUCGAACGCGAACGGGACUUCGGUUCCUAGUAGAGUGGCGCACGGGUGAGUAACGCGUAAAUAACCUAUCUUUAUGUCUGGGAUAACACGCCGAAAGGGGUACUAAUACCGGAUAUUCUUGCAUUUCAUAAGUAUUGCAAGGAAAGGUGGCCUCUGAUUCAAGCUACUGCAUAGAGAGGGGUCUGCGUACCAUUAGCUAGUAGGUGGGGUAAUGGCCUACCUAGGCAACGAUGGUUAGCGGGUCUGAGAGGAUGAUCCGCCACACUGGCACUGAAACACGGGUCAGACUCCCACGGGAGGCAGCAGUGAGGAAUAUUGCGCAAUGGGGGCAACCCUGACGCAGCGACGCCGCGUGAGUGAGGAAGGCCUUCGGGUCGUAAAGCUCUGUCAAGAGGGAAGAAGUGCAUGGUAGCUAAUACCUGCCAUGUUUGACGGUACCUCUAAAGGAAGCACCGGCUAACUCCGUGCCAGCAGCCGCGGUAAUACGUAGGUGGCAAGCGUUAUCCGGAUUUACUGGGUGUAAAGGGCGCGCAGGCGGCCCCAAAAGUCAGAUGUGAAAGAUCAAGGCUUAACUUUGACAUGUCAUCUGAAACUUUGGGACUUGAGUAUCAGAGGGGAAAGCGGAAUUCCUGGUGGAGCGGUAAAAUGCGCAGAGAUCAGGAGGAACACCGGUGGCGAAGGCGGCUUUCUGGCUGACAACUGACGCUGAGGCGCGAAAGCGUGGGGAGCAAACAGGAUUAGAUACCCUGGUAGUCCACGCCGUAAACGAUGAUUACUGGGUGUAGGGGGUAUCGACUCCCUCUGUGCCGAAGCUAACGCGAUAAGUAAUCCACCUGGGGAGUACGGCCGCAAGGCUAAAACUCAAAGGAAUUGACGGGGGCCCGCACAAGCAGUGGAGUAUGUGGUUUAAUUCGAAGCAACGCGAAGAGCCUUACCUAGACUUGACAUCUCCUGCAUUACUCUUAAUCGAGGAAGUCCCUUCGGGGACAGGAUGACAGGUGGUGCAUGGUUGUCGUCAGCUCGUGUCGUGAGAUGUUGGGUUAAGUCCCGCAACGAGCGCAACCCUUAUUGUUAGUUGCCAUCAUUAAGUUGGGCACUCUAGCGAGACUGCCCGGGUUAACCGGGAGGAAGGUGGGGAUGACGUCAAAUCAUCAUGCCCCUUAUGUCUAGGGCUACACACGUGCUACAAUGGUCGGUACAAUAAGACGCAAGCCCGCGAGGGGGAGCAAAACUGGAAAACCGAUCUCAGUUCGGAUUGUAGGCUGAAACUCGCCUACAUGAAGCUGGAGUUGCUAGUAAUCGCGAAUCAGCAUGUCGCGGUGAAUACGUUCCCGGGCCUUGCACUCACCGCCCGUCA
This 1410-nucleotide ribosomal RNA is filed under the name uncultured bacterium. RNAcentral describes it as "bacterial SSU rRNA". It matches the Rfam family "Bacterial small subunit ribosomal RNA". The record is from RNAcentral.